Molecule: transfer RNA, 70 nt
Filed under: Marmota marmota marmota (Alpine marmot)
Lineage: Eukaryota; Metazoa; Chordata; Mammalia; Rodentia; Sciuridae
Also listed under: 2 other names
Rfam family: tRNA
About the family: Transfer RNA (tRNA) molecules are approximately 80 nucleotides in length. Their secondary structure includes four short double-helical elements and three loops (D, anti-codon, and T loops). Further hydrogen bonds mediate the characteristic L-shaped molecular structure. tRNAs have two regions of fundamental functional importance: the anti-codon, which is responsible for specific mRNA codon recognition, and the 3' end, to which the tRNAs corresponding amino acid is attached (by aminoacyl-tRNA synthetases). tRNAs cope with the degeneracy of the genetic code in two manners: having more than one tRNA (with a specific anti-codon) for a particular amino acid; and 'wobble' base-pairing, i.e. permitting non-standard base-pairing at the 3rd anti-codon position.
Source: Rfam by way of RNAcentral
GGGGUUGUAGCUCAGUUGGUAGAGCAUUUACCUUGCAUGUGUGAGGCACUGGGUUCAAUCCUCAGCACCA